Unclassified non-coding RNA from Chrysemys picta bellii (western painted turtle), 162 nucleotides. The record is from Ensembl. Lineage: Eukaryota; Metazoa; Chordata; Testudines; Emydidae.
CUGACAGCCCUGGAGAUCUCUAUAUACAGAACAAAUACCACCGUGGCAGUGCAAGCUUCUCCACGUUAUUCCACCCAUGUUGCUCAAACCUGACCUGGGAUGAUCCUCUCUAGGAGUGAGAGGGUAAUUCAGUCUCCAAGAGCUGUUUCAAGUUUCCCUUCU